RNAcentral lists this transfer RNA (66 nucleotides) under Hydrellia tritici. Its description in RNAcentral is "tRNA-Asp". The record is from RNAcentral. Lineage: Eukaryota; Metazoa; Arthropoda; Insecta; Diptera; Ephydridae.
AAAAAAUUAGUUAAAGUAUAACAUUAGUUUGUCAAACUAAAAUUAUUGAUUUAUUAAUAUUUUUUA